CUUGGCGCUCGGUGGCGGCGCUUUGGGAAUUUUCACACUGGCGUUCAAGGUCCCUGAGGACCUCACCGUGAGCUGUUUUCCCUUGAAUAUUGAAUGACUUGGAGAACCUCCUGGUUUCCCUAGAUGUUUGCAGCAGAAAAUAGGGUUGGAACUGGAAGGAAGUUGGCUAUAAUAACCAUAUGCUUGUGCUUUCCCUUGCUCAAUGCUGACCAACGGGACCUGAGGGGAGUCUGCUACGGAACUUCAGGGAAAGUUUUCUUCUUUGAUGAAAAGACACAUGUGGGAAGAAACAGCUCUUCUUCCCCUAGAUUUGAUCAUCGAUCAUCAGUGAAAGAAAUCCUGGCAUCACUGCAGCCCUCUUCUUAGAUUAAGGGAGCUUCAUUUGAUGGCAAAGUGGGAAGGGAAGGAGCUUAAAGACAUUGAAUAGUCACCAAGCUAAGUAGCCAGGAGGCCACUCCAGCUUCUUGUUAUGUGAAAUAAUAGACUUCUCUUACUGUUCAAAAAAACUUAUUUAAGAAUGAUUACAUAAAGAGUUGAGAAUGCGGAAGUAAUUGAAAAAUUCAAACUAAGAUUAAAGUAUGAUGUUAUUGUACCUCAGUGAUGAUCUAAUACAAAUUAUGUCCUGAAAUUAACACCCCAUUAAAAUUAAAUACAGUGUGGAU
Molecule: long non-coding RNA, 662 nt
Organism: Hippopotamus amphibius kiboko
Lineage: Eukaryota; Metazoa; Chordata; Mammalia; Artiodactyla; Hippopotamidae
Exons: 3
Source: RefSeq, a predicted model, not a curated record